Delphinapterus leucas (beluga whale) is the source of this 678-nucleotide non-coding RNA. NCBI's taxonomy places the organism in Eukaryota, Metazoa, Chordata, Mammalia, Artiodactyla, Monodontidae. The record is from RefSeq and is a predicted model, not a curated record.
GGCUCCGGAUGCGCAGGCUCAGCGGCCAUGGCUCACAGGCCCAGCCGCUCCGCGGCAUGUGGGAUCAUCCCGGACCGGGGCACGAACCCGCGUCCCCUGCAUCGGCAGGCGGACUCUCAACCACUGUGCCACCAGGGGAGCCCUAAGCUCCACUUCUUGAAGGCUGGAGAUGUUCAGCAUUUGAUAAUUUCAGAAACGGUUGCAUUUAACUUCUUGGAAGACCAGCUAAUUCUCCAUUGUUUGUGCUAUUGGAGAGCUGUAGUAGUCAAACACAAAAUUAUCCUCUAGGUCCCAGCUUCUCAAGGUGUGGUCUUCGGGCUGGCAGGCUGGGCAUCCCCGAAGCUGGUUCAAAAUGCAGAAGCUCAGGUCCACCUCAGACUGCCUGAAUCAGAGGCUUAUUGUAACAAUAUCUGCGGGUAAUCCGUGUGCUGCUAAGGCUGGAAAAGGCCUGCUCUAGGUGACACGACACCAUUCAUCCUUGUGUGCCUGUCAUAUUUCCUGAAAACAUAUGAUCCCAUCUCUGGAGUAGGAUCAGCAUUAAGCCCACUCUCCGUGUCUGAAUAACACAAACAAGCUGACAACAUGUAAGAACCAUUUAAUGUGUUUUCCUUUGGUUGGCUAAUCUUUGGUACGACAUCAGGGCAGACUACGUAUUUUCACACUUUGGCGUCAGCAGCA